This 67-nucleotide transfer RNA is filed under the name Marmota marmota marmota (Alpine marmot). It matches the Rfam family "tRNA". From Rfam's summary of the family: Transfer RNA (tRNA) molecules are approximately 80 nucleotides in length. Their secondary structure includes four short double-helical elements and three loops (D, anti-codon, and T loops). Lineage: Eukaryota; Metazoa; Chordata; Mammalia; Rodentia; Sciuridae. The record is from Rfam by way of RNAcentral. RNAcentral also lists the same sequence under 4 other names.
GGUUGUAGUUCAGUGGUAGAGCACUUGCCUAGCAAGUGGGAGGCGCUGGGUUCAAUCCUCAGCACCA